UAAACAUUGACCGUUAAUUACACCCACUGUCCGCCUGGGAACUACGAGCGCCAGCUUAAAACCCAAAGGACUUGGCGGUGCUUUAGACCCACCUAGAGGAGCCUGUUCUACGAGCGAUAAUCCCCGUUAAACCUCACCCUUCCUUGUCAUUUCCGCCUAUAUACCACCGUCGUCAGCUUACCCUGUGAAGGCCCAAUAGUAAGCGCAAUCGGCAAUGCCCAAAACGUCAGGUCGAGGUGUAGCGAAUGGAAGGGGAAGAAAUGGGCUACAUUUACUAACACAGUAAAUACGGAUGAUUACCCUGCAACGAGUAUCUGAAGGAGGAUUUAGCAGUAAGCAAAAAGCAGAGUGUUUUGCUGAAAUUGGC
RNAcentral lists this ribosomal RNA (367 nucleotides) under Chaetodon lineolatus (lined butterflyfish). Its description in RNAcentral is "partial 12S ribosomal RNA". It matches the Rfam family "Bacterial small subunit ribosomal RNA", at positions 803 to 1372 of the family's 1533-position model. The record is from RNAcentral. Lineage: Eukaryota; Metazoa; Chordata; Actinopteri; Chaetodontiformes; Chaetodontidae.